AUCUAGCUGACGAGUCCUAACCAGGACAAAACGCGUGUCAAACUAGAU
Molecule: non-coding RNA, 48 nt
Organism: Schistosoma haematobium
Lineage: Eukaryota; Metazoa; Platyhelminthes; Trematoda; Strigeidida; Schistosomatidae
Source: Rfam